GAGAGACUUGCCAAAGAGUUGUUUAUUGGU
RNAcentral lists this non-coding RNA (30 nucleotides) under Oryctolagus cuniculus (rabbit). The record is from RNAcentral. RNAcentral also lists the same sequence under 1 other name. Lineage: Eukaryota; Metazoa; Chordata; Mammalia; Lagomorpha; Leporidae.